CAAGGCGCCUGCGCUAAGCCGGCUUGUCGGCGCCAUUUUGUCUGAGCGGUGGCGGUCGCAGCUCUAUCGCAUUUUACGUUUCUGGCGAGGAGAGACCCGGGUCUCUAUCCCGCAGAUGCAUGUGAGCGCGGCACUUCUCCGCCGUUGGCUCCAGGACAGCACCUAGCGAAGGUCGGAGGAGUCGCGGACCUUUCAAAAAGUUGGUACAAAGAAAACAAGAUCUCUCGGUGGCAUAUCCUAAGUAUUAACUCAGAAUAAACCUCUUUGUGGGAAAAUGAAGGAACAUGUUCCAGUUUUAAAAGAUCUGGAUCUGCAGUUGAAAAUUCUGUUUCUGAACACAAGCAGGAAGAGCAUCAGGCAGAGGGAGAGGGAGAAGCAGCCUCCCUGCUGAGCAAGGAGCCCAGUGCAGGGCUCAAUCCCAGGACCCCAAGAUCAUGACCUGAGCUGAAGGCAGAUGCCCAACUGACCGAGCCACUCAGGCACCCCUAAAAGAUUUUAUUCACCUAUUAGAGCACAUGAGCGGAGUGGGGAGUAGGGGAACAGAGGGAGAAGAAGAAGAAGCAGAUUCCCCACUGAGCAGGAAGCCCAGGACAAUGGCAGGACCCUGGAAUCAUGACCUGAGCCAAAAGUAAACGCUUAAGCGAUUGAGCCACCCAGGUGCCCUACACCACUUCUUUUUUAACAAAAGACCUAAAGGGACACCUGAGUGGCUCAGAAGUUGAGUGUCUGCCUUCAGCCCAAGGCCUGAUCCUGGAGACCUGGGAUCGAGUCCCAUGUUGGGCUCCCUGCAUGAAGCCUGCAUCUCCCUCUGCCUGUGUCUCUGCCCCCCCCCCACCCCUCUCUCGUGAAUAAAAUAAAAUCUU
Molecule: long non-coding RNA, 863 nt
Organism: Nyctereutes procyonoides (raccoon dog)
Lineage: Eukaryota; Metazoa; Chordata; Mammalia; Carnivora; Canidae
Exons: 5
Source: RefSeq, a predicted model, not a curated record